Molecule: long non-coding RNA, 224 nt
Organism: Solea senegalensis (Senegalese sole)
Lineage: Eukaryota; Metazoa; Chordata; Actinopteri; Pleuronectiformes; Soleidae
Exons: 3
Source: RefSeq, a predicted model, not a curated record
GCAGAAUGACAGUUAAUUCAUCUUGACAGAGCUCAGCCAUCGAGGUCCCAACCCCUCUUGUAACAAUGAAGCAACAAAGAAUCCCAAGAACACUUUAAGCACCUGAACUCAUGAGCUGAAGCCUGGACUGCUGCUACUGCUCUUCACCACCAGAGUGCAGUAUUCUAAUGAUUAAGAACACCGCCCCUUUAAGUCCUCUGACAAAUAUAUUUAUAUAUUUUAAA